GAACAGCAUGGGGAUUAGGCUGGGACAGGCAUUGAGGAAUGAAAUCCGUCACUUCCCAGAUUUCGAACGCAUCCUUAGAGUGCAUUACUUUUAUGUGCUUGCGUUCGGUCUUGGGAUUUCUCAGCAGAUGUCGCCAACAGUAGAGAGAUUGAUCUAGAAUGUCUCGUUAUCGGAAAAGUAUGGUAGCCAUACACCAAAUGGUUUUUGCGUUUAGCUACCAUAUUACUUCCGAUAUGACUGUUGACAUCACUGCCGAUAUGACGGAGCAGUGCAUUGGCAAUAUGCCAAGGGCAGUAACAUGCCGUCAGUCACGUCAGUCAUCGGUCUUGGCUAUCUGUAAGGAUCUUGGCAGGAAUCUUGGCCUUUUCUUGGACCCAUAGCCUCGGCCUUCGACCAAUCAUAUCGCCGAAUUCGCAAGCGGUGAGAGACAAAUACGGCGUGCCAAAGACAUAUUGGGUGUCUCAAAAUCACUGAGAACUCUGUAGCUCAAAACUUAAGCCCUGCACUCUUUUAGAUCUACCCCGUCACCGUUGAGUGGCAUUCUUGUGAAAAUUAUGUAAAGAUAUUUAUCAGAAUAAGGUAGAAGUGUAGGGGGUGGCAGGUGAGGUGCAGAAGAAGAAGAAGAAGAAGUUGUACCUAUCCAGUAAUUUUAUCUUGAUUUGUGGACUAGACGAAGACUAGAUUUUGAUGAAGAAAUCGACAAACUUGAACUGCAGGACUCGUGGCGCUGCUCGCCUCCUCGCCAAUGCGAAUG
Molecule: long non-coding RNA, 754 nt
Organism: Amphibalanus amphitrite
Lineage: Eukaryota; Metazoa; Arthropoda; Thecostraca; Balanomorpha; Balanidae
Exons: 2
Source: RefSeq, a predicted model, not a curated record